Molecule: transfer RNA, 72 nt
Filed under: Camelus bactrianus (Bactrian camel)
Lineage: Eukaryota; Metazoa; Chordata; Mammalia; Artiodactyla; Camelidae
Also listed under: 2 other names
Rfam family: tRNA
About the family: Transfer RNA (tRNA) molecules are approximately 80 nucleotides in length.
Source: Rfam by way of RNAcentral
GAGGGUAUAGCUCAGUGGUAGAGCACAUGCUUAGCAUGUCUGAGGUCCUGGGUUCAAUCCCCAGUACUUCCA